RNAcentral lists this ribosomal RNA (256 nucleotides) under uncultured bacterium. RNAcentral's name for it is "partial 16S ribosomal RNA". It matches the Rfam family "Bacterial small subunit ribosomal RNA", at positions 524 to 776 of the family's 1533-position model. The record is from RNAcentral.
CACGUAGGCACCAAGCGUUAUCCGGAUUUAUUGGGCGUAAAAGAGCUCGUAGGCGGUUCGGUAAGUCGGGUGUGAAAACUCUGGGGCUCAACCCAGAGAGGCCACCCGAUACUGCUGUGACUAGAGGUGCGGUAGGGAGCGGGAAUUUCCUGGGUGUAGGCGGUGAAAUGCGCAGAUAUCAGGAGGAACACCAGCGGCGAAGGCGCCGCUCUGGCCGUAACUGACGCUGAGGAGCGAAGCAUGGGUAGCAAACAGG